GCCAUAUCAUGUUGUAACAUUGGUUCCUAUCUGAUCACCAAAGUUAAGCAAUGCUGAGCCUGAUCAGUACCUAGAUGGCUUACCGCUUGAGAAUACCAAGUGCUGUAA
This is a non-coding RNA of Acanthosepion pharaonis, 108 nucleotides long. Lineage: Eukaryota; Metazoa; Mollusca; Cephalopoda; Sepiida; Sepiidae. The record is from the annotation of a GenBank genome assembly.